CUCCUACGGGAGGCAGCAGUGGGGAAUAUUGCACAAUGGGGGAAACCCUGAUGCAGCCAUGCCGCGUGUGUGAAGAAGGCCUUCGGGUUGUAAAGCACUUUCAGCGAGGAGGAAAGGUUGGUAGCUAAUAACUGCCAGCUGUGACGUUACUCGCAGAAGAAGCACCGGCUAACUCCGUGCCAGCAGCCGCGGUAAUAC
RNAcentral lists this ribosomal RNA (198 nucleotides) under uncultured Aeromonas sp. RNAcentral describes it as "partial 16S ribosomal RNA". It matches the Rfam family "Bacterial small subunit ribosomal RNA", at positions 336 to 526 of the family's 1533-position model. Lineage: Bacteria; Pseudomonadati; Pseudomonadota; Gammaproteobacteria; Aeromonadales; Aeromonadaceae. The record is from RNAcentral.